AAAAUAUAGUCAAUAAAUAGCAUAAUUUUUUUUGAUUGCGAUGUUUUGAGGUUUCUUCUAUCGUGAUGUGGUACUUGACAGUGUAUGUAUUGACGACAUCAGUUCGCUGAAAGUCAGGUACGGUGGGACAAUGCAGGGUACACAGCGACA
This is a long non-coding RNA of Priapulus caudatus, 150 nucleotides long. RefSeq lists it as uncharacterized. Lineage: Eukaryota; Metazoa; Priapulida; Priapulimorpha; Priapulimorphida; Priapulidae. The record is from RefSeq and is a predicted model, not a curated record. The transcript has 3 exons.